UCCAGACUCCUACGGGAGGCAGCAGUGGGGGAUAUUGCACAAUGGGGGAAACCCUGAUGCAGCGACGCCGCGUGAGUGAAGAAGUAUUUCGGUAUGUAAAGCUCUAUCAGCAGGGAAGAAAAAAGACGGUACCUGACUAAGAAGCCCCGGCUAACUACGUGCCAGCAGCCGCGGUAAUACGUAGGGGGCAAGCGUUAUCCGGAUUUACUGGGUGUAAAGGGAGCGUAGACGGCGAUGCAAGCCAGAUGUGAAAGCCCGGGGCUCAACCCCGGGACUGCAUUUGGAACUGUGUGGCUGGAGUGUCGGAGAGGCAGGCGGAAUUCCUAGUGUAGCGGUGAAAUGCGUAGAUAUUAGGAGGAACACCAGUGGCGAAGGCGGCCUGCUGGACGAUGACUGACGUUGAGGCUCGAAAGCGUGGGGAGCAAACAGGAUUAGAUACCCCUGUAUCC
This 449-nucleotide ribosomal RNA is filed under the name uncultured bacterium. Its description in RNAcentral is "bacterial SSU rRNA". It matches the Rfam family "Bacterial small subunit ribosomal RNA", at positions 330 to 795 of the family's 1533-position model. The record is from RNAcentral.